This 566-nucleotide ribosomal RNA is filed under the name uncultured marine eukaryote. RNAcentral describes it as "SSU rRNA". It matches the Rfam family "Eukaryotic small subunit ribosomal RNA", at positions 613 to 1180 of the family's 1831-position model. The record is from RNAcentral.
UUGCGGUUAAAAAGCUCGUAGUUGGAUUUCUGUCGGUGAGGUUCAGUCCGCCCAAGUGGUUGGUACGUGAUCCGCCACCGGCAUCUUCCUGGGGAAUGUGUCUGCUCUUAAUUGGGUGGUACAUAAGCCAGGACUUUUACUUUGAAGAAAUGAGAGUGUUUCAAGCAGGCAUGCGCCGUGAAUACGUUAGCAUGGGAUAAUAGCAUCGGACCUCGUUCCAAAGCUGUUGGCUUCUUGGACCGAGGUAAAGGUGAAUAGGGAUUGUUGGGGGCAUUCGUAUUUGACUGUCAGAGGUGAAAUUCUUGGAUUUGUUGAAGACGGACUACUGCGAAAGCAUCUGCCAAAGAUGUUCUCAUUGAUCAAGAACGAAAGUUAGGUGAUCGAAGACGAUCAGAUACCGUCCUAGUCUUAACCAUAAACUAUGCCGACUGGAGAUCGGGGGUCGUUAAUUAUGUGACGCCCUCUGCAUCUUGAGAGAAACCAAAGUCUUUGGGUUCCGGGGGGAGUAUGGUCGCAAAGGCUGAAACUUAAAGGAAUUGACGGAAGGGCACCACCCAGGAGGUGGA